This is a long non-coding RNA of Manis javanica (Malayan pangolin), 658 nucleotides long. RefSeq lists it as uncharacterized. NCBI's taxonomy places the organism in Eukaryota, Metazoa, Chordata, Mammalia, Pholidota, Manidae. The record is from RefSeq and is a predicted model, not a curated record.
GUGAAAAAUCACAAAGUAUUUCUGCUGAUGCAGACCUCACCAGGGAAAGAUCAACUCAUUGUUUGAAAACCACUUCAGCCAGCAAAGGCACUUCAGUCAGGGAUUGUCAUUCUGAGCUUUCUUAGUGGAGAAGAGGAAAGCACGGGGAGUUUACAGCUCUCCUGGUUUACCUGAAACGCUGGAAGUCUGUCUGUCAACCGGAGGAUCCUUUCUUGUCUUGUCUUGUUUUGGAGCUAGGAUGAGAGCUGAUAGUCUUCACCCUGUUUAAUUUAUGUAGCUUCAGAAAGAAGAGUUGUCAGGGCCAACAUAAUGAAAAAAGAAAAAAAGCAUACGAGCCUGGGACAUGUCUAAACCUUCUCCAGCAGCAUUGUCACCUCGCUCGUCAGGACUCCACGCCACUGACAGCAACAGGAAAAGAAAAAAAAUCUGCUCUUGGCACUGUGGCAGUUCGGAUAACGGCCCGGGGUGCUGGAGAGCAACAGCCCGUAGGCUCAGAGGCCGGCCCACGCUCGCUGUGUGCUGGCCCAGAUGAGAUGGUCCCGGUCACAUGGCCCUGAACCGCCUGCUGAUCAAGUCUGCGUCUCAAGAAUGACUGCAUUAAAGCCGCUCCAGGCCAGAGUAGUCUUUACUUCAAAAGAUUAAAAAUAAAAAGUCACUG